UUAGAUGCUGCUUUGAAAAGGUAGUAACAAAAAUUUGCCAAAUUAUGAAGCCUCAGUCAAAGAAAUUUAAAAAGAAUCAAUCCUGGAUCUUGCUUUGAAGAGUUUUUGUGAUUAAAUUUACAAAUUUAAAGCCUGAAUGAAGACAUCUAAUUAUUCUAUAGUUACAAGAGAUUUUUGUGACUUUUAUUGGCACGAAUAAUGCUGGCUAAAAAUUUAUCUUUUCAUUUAAUUUUUUUUAGUGUCAAUGGUUUUACCAGCCUAUUUGAGAGUGGCAAGUAACUAUUAAUUCAGUUAGAACACAAACUACUUCUCUUAUUGUCCUUUUACAUCAAGUUAUUUAGUUUUAAAAUCUGUUGCUAAUACUACAUUUUUCGGCAGGUACUUUCCUG
Molecule: unclassified non-coding RNA, 389 nt
Filed under: Hevea brasiliensis (rubber tree)
Lineage: Eukaryota; Viridiplantae; Streptophyta; Magnoliopsida; Malpighiales; Euphorbiaceae
Source: RNAcentral